RNAcentral lists this ribosomal RNA (328 nucleotides) under uncultured eukaryote. RNAcentral describes it as "partial 18S ribosomal RNA". It matches the Rfam family "Eukaryotic small subunit ribosomal RNA", at positions 1470 to 1796 of the family's 1831-position model. The record is from RNAcentral.
CCCUUAGAUGUCCUGGGCCGCACGCGCGCUACACUGAUGCAUGCAACGAGUUUAUAACCUUGGCCUGAAAGGUCUGGGUAAUCUUUUGAACGUGCAUCGUGAUAGGGAUAGAUUAUUGCAAUUGUUAAUCUUGAACGAGGAAUUCCUAGUAAACGCGAGUCAUCAGCUCGCAUUGAUUUCGUCCCUGCCCUUUGUACACACCGCCCGUCGCACCUACCGAUUGAAUGGUUCGGUGAAGAUCUCGGACUUCGAUAUUUAUUCUUUAUUGAGUUUAUAUUGUGGGAAGUUAUCUAAACCUCAUCAUUUAGAGGAAGGUGAAGUCGUAACA